RNAcentral lists this ribosomal RNA (642 nucleotides) under uncultured bacterium. RNAcentral describes it as "bacterial SSU rRNA". It matches the Rfam family "Bacterial small subunit ribosomal RNA", at positions 1 to 642 of the family's 1533-position model. The record is from RNAcentral.
CGGAGAGUUUGAUCCUGGCUCAGAUUGAACGCUGGCGGCAUGCCUUACACAUGCAAGUCGAACGGCAGCACGGAGCUUGCUCUGGUGGCGAGUGGCGAACGGGUGAGUAAUAUAUCGGAACGUACCCUGGAGUGGGGGAUAACGUAGCGAAAGUUACGCUAAUACCGCAUACGAUCUACGGAUGAAAGUGGGGGAUCGCAAGACCUCAUGCUCGUGGAGCGGCCGAUAUCUGAUUAGCUAGUUGGUAGGGUAAAAGCCUACCAAGGCAUCGAUCAGUAGCUGGUCUGAGAGGACGACCAGCCACACUGGAACUGAGACACGGUCCAGACUCCUACGGGAGGCAGCAGUGGGGAAUUUUGGACAAUGGGCGAAAGCCUGAUCCAGCAAUGCCGCGUGAGUGAAGAAGGCCUUCGGGUUGUAAAGCUCUUUUGUCAGGGAAGAAACGGUGAGGGCUAAUAUCUCUUGCUAAUGACGGUACCUGAAGAAUAAGCACCGGCUAACUACGUGCCAGCAGCCGCGGUAAUACGUAGGGUGCAAGCGUUAAUCGGAAUUACUGGGCGUAAAGCGUGCGCAGGCGGUUUUGUAAGUCUGAUGUGAAAUCCCCGGGCUCAACCUGGGAAUUGCAUUGGAGACUGCAAGGCU